UUCAUCUAAGUAUACACAAGAAGGGAAUAGAAAAAUAGCAGCAGCUUGAAUGGGGACCACCUGACAUAGAAUUAGACAGCAGGGAAAUUCAGAUGACCUAGGGAUUCACUGAAUUCAAAGUCCACAUUUUACAGAUGAUGACACUGAGAUCCAGAAAAGCUGAGGGACUUCUCUUCUGAGGUGGACAGAAUCAAAAGAAAGCCACUCUCACUGGAUUUUGGAGGUGAAUCCUGCAGCUGCAUCCACCCCCAACGUGGAGCCUUGCAUACAUACACAGUCUACCAGGUCUGACCAGAUUGCCUUCAGAACGUCAAGCAUUUUUAUAAAUAUAUACGGUCACAUAUUUUAUAUUCCUGCUUUUUAUAGUGUCUACUUCAGACCUUCUUUACUGAAACACAAACUUCAAUGUCAGUGUUUAGAGUAAGUACUACUUUCCUGUUCCCUCAGUCAGCUCAUAAAUCUCCCCAGUUCCAGGCACCUUUCUUGCCAUUUGGUGCUCCCAGCUUCUG
This is a non-coding RNA of Heterocephalus glaber (naked mole-rat), 509 nucleotides long. The record is from RefSeq and is a predicted model, not a curated record. Lineage: Eukaryota; Metazoa; Chordata; Mammalia; Rodentia; Bathyergidae.